RNAcentral lists this non-coding RNA (1226 nucleotides) under Kandleria vitulina DSM 20405. Its description in RNAcentral is "Bacterial large subunit ribosomal RNA". It matches the Rfam family "Bacterial large subunit ribosomal RNA", at positions 311 to 1551 of the family's 2925-position model. The record is from Rfam by way of RNAcentral. Lineage: Bacteria; Bacillati; Bacillota; Erysipelotrichia; Erysipelotrichales; Coprobacillaceae.
AGAAAGCCGAUCGAAGCAUCAUAGCCGAAGGCGCUGGGAAGCGCCGCCGGAGAGGGCGACAGUCCCGUAGGCGAAAUGGUGGUAGAGGGCGAGCGGAGAUCCUGAGUACGGCGGGACACGAGAAAUCCUGUCGGAAGCAUCGGGGACCAUCCCGAAAGGCUAAAGACUACUGCGUGACCGAUAGCGAACCAGUACCGUGAGGGAAAGGUGAAAAGAACCCCGGGAGGGGAGUGAAAGAGAACCUGAAACCAUAUGCCUACAAGAAGUCAGAGCCCGUCAAAGGGUGAUGGCGUGCCUUUUGUAGAAUGAGCCGGCGAGUUGCUUUUUCAGGCGAGGCUAAGCAGGAUAUGCGGAGCCGAAGCGAAAGCGAGUCUUAAUAGGGCGAGCAGUCUGAAGGAGCAGACCCGAAACCGGGUGAUCUAGCCAUGGACAGGUUGAAGUCGGGGUAAGACCCGAUGGAGGACCGAACCGACCCCCGUUGAAACGUUGGCGGAUGAUCCGUGGCUAGAGGUGAAAUUCCAAACGAACCCGGAGAUAGCUGGUUCUCCCCGAAAUAGCUUUAGGGCUAGCGUCGCGAGACGGCAUGCGAAGGUAGAGCACUGAAUAUGCGAUGGCCUCAUCCCGAGGUACUGAGCAUAAUCAAACUCCGAAUGUCGCACGUCCAGUCGCGGCAGUCAGUCCGCGGGUGAUAAGGUCCGCGGACAAGAGGGAAACAGCCCAGACCAUCAGCUAAGGUCCCAAAGUGCAUGCUAAGUGGAAAAGGAAGUGGAGACGUGCAGACAACUAGGAGGUUGGCUCAGAAGCAGCCAUCCUUCAAAGAGUGCGUAACAGCUCACUAGUCGAAUGACUCUGCGCCGAUAAUUUACCGGGGCUAAGCAUGACACCGAAGCUAUGGAUUCGAAUGAAUGGUAGGGGAGCGUUCCAUGCGGCGAAGAAGCGCGACCGAGAGGGCGCGAGGAGCGCAUGGAAGAGAGAAUGCCGGCGUGAGUAGCGAGACGUGGGUGAGAAUCCCACGCACCGAUGGCCCAAGGUUUCCAGAGGAAGGUUCGUCCGCUCUGGGAGAGUCGGGACCUAAGGAGAGGCCGAAAGGCGUAUCCGAUGGACGACGGGUGGAGAUUCCCGUACCCCAUCGAGAGCGAGGGAGUGACGGAGACGGCAGGAGCGACCGGCUGACGGAAUAGCCGGGGCAAGCGAAGCAGCCGCGCAGCAGGCAAAUCCGCUGCGCA